This 524-nucleotide unclassified non-coding RNA is filed under the name uncultured Glomeromycotina. RNAcentral describes it as "SSU rRNA". It matches the Rfam family "Eukaryotic small subunit ribosomal RNA", at positions 572 to 1092 of the family's 1831-position model. Lineage: Eukaryota; Fungi; Glomeromycota. The record is from RNAcentral.
AGCCGCGGUAAUUCCAGCUCCAAUAGCGUAUAUUAAAGUUGUUGCAGUUAAAAAGCUCGUAGUUGAAUUUCGGGAUUGACACAUCGGUCGUGCCUUAAGGGGUAUGAACUGGUGUAGUCAAUUUCUCACCUUCUGGAGAACCGCAAUGCCCUUAAUUGGGUGUCGCGGGGAACCAGGACCUUUACUUUGAAAAAAUUAGAGUGUUUAAAGCAGGCAUUUUGCUUGAAUACAUUAGCAUGGAAUAAUAAAAUAGGACGGAUGAUUCUAUUUUGUUGGUUUCUAGGACCACCGUAAUGAUUAAUAGGGAUAGUUGGGGGAAUUAGUAUUCAAUUGUCAGAGGUGAAAUUCUUGGAUUUAUUGAAGACUAACUACUGCGAAAGCAUUUGCCAAGGAUGUUUUCAUUAAUCAAGAACGAAAGUUAGGGGAUCGAAGACGAUCAGAUACCGUCGUAGUCUUAACCAUAAACUAUGCCGACUAGGAAUCAGACGAUGUUAAUUUUUUAAUGACUCGUUUGGCACCUUAUG